ACGAAAAAAAAAUGGUAGUCCGUUGGA
This 27-nucleotide small RNA is filed under the name Bombyx mori (domestic silkworm). RNAcentral's name for it is "ovarian small RNA-11398". The record is from RNAcentral. Lineage: Eukaryota; Metazoa; Arthropoda; Insecta; Lepidoptera; Bombycidae.